CAAUAGCGUAUAUUAAAGUUGUUGCAGUUAGAACGCUCGUAGUCGGAUUUCGGGGCGGGCCGACCGGUCUGCCGAUGGGUAUGCACUGGUCGGCGCGUCCUUCCUUCCGGAGACCGUCCCUACUCUUAACUGAGCGGGGGCGGGAGACGGGACUUUUACUUUGAAAAAAUCAGAGUGUUUCAAGCAGGCAGCUCGCUCUUGCAUGGAUUAGCAUGGGAUAAUGAAAUAGGACUUUGGUGCUAUUUUGUUGGUUUCGAACACCGAAGUAAUGAUGAGAAGGGACAGUCAGGGGCACGCGUAUUCCGCCGAGAGAGGUGAAAUUCUCAGACCAGCGGAAGACGAACCACUGCGAAAGCAUUUGCCAGGGAUGUUUUCACUG
This 379-nucleotide ribosomal RNA is filed under the name uncultured eukaryote. RNAcentral's name for it is "partial 18S ribosomal RNA". It matches the Rfam family "Eukaryotic small subunit ribosomal RNA", at positions 592 to 975 of the family's 1831-position model. The record is from RNAcentral.